RNAcentral lists this ribosomal RNA (75 nucleotides) under Gemmula diomedea. Its description in RNAcentral is "partial 28S ribosomal RNA". The stretch from base 10 to 75 matches the Rfam family "Eukaryotic large subunit ribosomal RNA", at positions 1 to 66 of the family's 3401-position model. Lineage: Eukaryota; Metazoa; Mollusca; Gastropoda; Neogastropoda; Turridae. RNAcentral also lists the same sequence under 1 other name. The record is from RNAcentral.
UUUCAUUUCCGACCUCAGAUCGGACGAGAUUACCCGCUGAAUUUAAGCAUAUCACUAAGCGGAGGAAAAGAAACU